Picea glauca (white spruce) is the source of this 123-nucleotide non-coding RNA. The record is from Rfam. NCBI's taxonomy places the organism in Eukaryota, Viridiplantae, Streptophyta, Pinopsida, Pinales, Pinaceae.
AUGUACAUGCCUAUGACAUAGUGUUAAUGCAUCAAAUCCCAUUAGAACUCUGCAAUUAAGUGCGCUCGAGCUAGAGUAGUAUUGGGAUGGGUGACCUCCUGAGAAGUCCUACUAUUUUACAUG